AUUGAACGCUGGCGGCAGGCCCAACACAUGCAAGUCGAGCGGCAGCGGGACCUUCGGGUUGCCGGCGAGCGGCGGACGGGUGAGUAACGCGUGGAUAACCUGCCCAGAGGUGGGGGAUAACCCGGGGAAACUCGGGCUAAUACCGCAUGAUACCGAGAGGUCAAAGGCGGCCCGCAAGGGCUGUCGCCAUUGGAGGGGUCCGCGUCCGAUUAGCUAGUUGGUAGGGUAAUGGCCUACCAAGGCGACGAUCGGUAGCCGGCCUGAGAGGGUGAUCGGCCACACUGGAACUGAGACACGGUCCAGACUCCUACGGGAGGCAGCAGUGGGGAAUUUUGCGCAAUGGGCUAACGCCUGACGCAGCAACGCCGCGUGGAGGAUGAAGGUCUUUGGAUUGUAAACUCCUGUCAGCAGGGAAAAAGCGAAUCGGCCUAACACGCCGGUGAGUUGAUUGUACCUGCAGAGGAAGCCCCGGCUAACUCUGUGCCAGCCGCCGCAGUAA
RNAcentral lists this ribosomal RNA (499 nucleotides) under uncultured bacterium. RNAcentral describes it as "partial 16S ribosomal RNA". It matches the Rfam family "Bacterial small subunit ribosomal RNA", at positions 28 to 523 of the family's 1533-position model. The record is from RNAcentral.